This 253-nucleotide ribosomal RNA is filed under the name uncultured bacterium. RNAcentral's name for it is "partial 16S ribosomal RNA". It matches the Rfam family "Bacterial small subunit ribosomal RNA", at positions 524 to 776 of the family's 1533-position model. The record is from RNAcentral.
UACGGGGGGGGCAAGCGUUGUUCGGAAUUACUGGGCGUAAAGGGCUCGUAGGCGGCCAACUAAGUCAGACGUGAAAUCCCUCGGCUUAACCGGGGAACUGCGUCUGAUACUGGAUGGCUUGAGGUUGGGAGAGGGAUGCGGAAUUCCAGGUGUAGCGGUGAAAUGCGUAGAUAUCUGGAGGAACACCGGUGGCGAAGGCGGCAUCCUGGACCGGUAUUGACGCUGAUGCGCGAAAGCCAGGGGAGCAAACGGG